RNAcentral lists this ribosomal RNA (483 nucleotides) under uncultured bacterium. Its description in RNAcentral is "bacterial SSU rRNA". It matches the Rfam family "Bacterial small subunit ribosomal RNA", at positions 30 to 507 of the family's 1533-position model. The record is from RNAcentral.
AUUGAACGCUGGCGGCAGGCCUAACACAUGCAAGUCGAGCGGAAGAAGGGGCUUGCUCCCGGAUUCAGCGGCGGACGGGUGAGUAACGCGUAGGAAUCUACCUAAUAGUGGGGGAUAACGUUCCGAAAGGAACGCUAAUACCGCAUACGUUCCGAGGAAGAAAGCAGGGGACCGCAAGGCCUUGCGCUAUUAGAUGAGCCUGCGUCCGAUUAGCUAGUUGGUAGGGUAAAGGCCUACCAAGGCGACGAUCGGUAACUGGUCUGAGAGGAUGAUCCGCCACACUGGAACUGAGACACGGUCCAGACUCCUACGGGAGGCAGCAGUGGGGAAUUUUGGACAAUGGGCGCAAGCCUGAUCCAGCCAUGCCGCGUGAGUGAAGAAGGCCUUCGGGUUGUAAAGCUCUUUCGGCCGGGAAGAAAUCGCACAGGUUAAUACCCUGUGUGGAUGACGGUACCGGAAUAAGAAGCACCGGCUAACUACGUG